UACGUAGGGUCCAAGCGUUGUCCGGAUUUAUUGGGCGUAAAGGGUGCGUAGGCGGCGGAGUAAGUUGGGUGUGAAAUCCCGGGGCUCAACCUCGGAAUGGCAUUCAAUACUGCUUCGCUAGAGUACUGGAGAGGAGGCUGGAAUUUACGGUGUAGCAGUGAAAUGCGUAGAUAUCGUAAGGAAGGCCGGUGGCGAAAGCGAGCCUCUGGACAGUUACUGACGCUGAUGCACGAAGGCCAGGGGAGCAAACGGG
RNAcentral lists this ribosomal RNA (253 nucleotides) under uncultured bacterium. Its description in RNAcentral is "partial 16S ribosomal RNA". It matches the Rfam family "Bacterial small subunit ribosomal RNA", at positions 524 to 776 of the family's 1533-position model. The record is from RNAcentral.